UCAGAUGCGAAAGCGUGGGUAGCAAACAGGAUUAGAUACCCUGGUAGUCCACGCCGUAAACGCUGUCUACUUGGAGGUUGAGGUUUUAGACUUUGGCUUUCGGCGCUAACGCAUUAAGUAGACCGCCUGGGGAGUACGGCCGCAAGGUUAAAACUCAAAUGAAUUGACGGGGGCCCGCACAAGCGGUGGAGCAUGUGGUUUAAUUCGAUGCAACGCGAAGAACCUUACCUACUCUUGACAUCCAGCGAAGCCUUUAGAGAUAGAGGCGUGCCUUCGGGAGCGCUGAGACAGGUGCUGCAUGGCUGUCGUCAGCUCGUGUUGUGAAAUGUUGGGUUAAGUCCCGCAACGAGCGCAACCCUUAUCCUUGUUUGCCAGCACAUAAUGGUGGGAACUCCAGGGAGACUGCCGGUGAUAAACCGGAGGAAGGUGGGGACGACGUCAAGUCAUCAUGGCCCUUACGAGUAGGGCUACACACGUGCUACAAUGGCAGAUACAGAGGGCAGCGAGACAGCGAUGUUUAGCGAAUCCCUUAAAGUUUGUCGUAGUCCGGAUUGGAGUCUGCAACUCGACUCCAUGAAGUCGGAAUCGCUAGUAAUCGUGGAUCAGAAUGCCACGGUGAAUACGUUCCCGGGCCUUGUACACACCGCCC
RNAcentral lists this ribosomal RNA (649 nucleotides) under uncultured bacterium. Its description in RNAcentral is "bacterial SSU rRNA". It matches the Rfam family "Bacterial small subunit ribosomal RNA", at positions 747 to 1395 of the family's 1533-position model. The record is from RNAcentral.